GAUGAACGCUGGCGGCGUGCCUAAUACAUGCGAGUCGAGCGAACAGACGAGGAGCUUGCUCCUCUGACGUUAGCGGCGGACGGGUGAGUAACACGUGGAUAACCUACCUAUAAGACUGGGAUAACUUCGGGAAACCGGAGCUAAUACCGGAUAAUAUAUUGAACCGCAUGGUUCAAUAGUGAAAGACGGUUUUGCUGUCACUUAUAGAUGGAUCCGCGCCGCAUUAGCUAGUUGGUAAGGUAACGGCUUACCAAGGCAACGAUGCGUAGCCGACCUGAGAGGGUGAUCGGCCACAAUGGAACUGAGACACGGUCCAGACUCCUACGGGAGGCAGCAGUAGGGAAUCUUCCGCAAUGGGCGAAAGCUUGACGGAGCAACGCCGCGUGAGUGAUGAAGGUCUUCGGAUCGUAAAACUCUGUUAUUAGGGAAGAACAAAUGUGUAAGUAACUAUGCACGUCUUGACGGUACCUAAUCAGAAAGCCACGGCUAACUACGUG
This 497-nucleotide ribosomal RNA is filed under the name uncultured bacterium. RNAcentral's name for it is "partial 16S ribosomal RNA". It matches the Rfam family "Bacterial small subunit ribosomal RNA", at positions 28 to 507 of the family's 1533-position model. The record is from RNAcentral.